Molecule: non-coding RNA, 160 nt
Organism: Triticum aestivum (bread wheat)
Lineage: Eukaryota; Viridiplantae; Streptophyta; Magnoliopsida; Poales; Poaceae
Source: Rfam
UAGGUAGUCCCUCUGUCUCAAAAUUCUUGUCUUAAAUUUGUCUAGAUACAGAUGUAUCUAAUACUAAAACAUGACUUGAUACAUCUGUAUUUAGACAAAUUUGAUACAUCUGUAUUUAGACAAAUCUAAGACAAGAAUUUUGGAACGGAGGGAGUAAUUG